This is an RNA transcript of Rattus norvegicus (Norway rat), 1334 nucleotides long. It is a transcript of the gene named cytochrome c oxidase subunit 7A2 like, with no coding region annotated. The annotation marks the transcript as partial. Lineage: Eukaryota; Metazoa; Chordata; Mammalia; Rodentia; Muridae. The transcript has 5 exons. The record is from RefSeq and is marked validated.
GCUUUGGGUGGGCCAAAGGGGAAGCCGGGUCCUUUUCUAGGGCGGUCGCACAGGCAGCGGCAGUGCGAAGCUGGCUUCAGCCAACAUGUACUACAAGUUUAGCAGUUUCACGCAGAAGUUGGCUAGUGCUUGGGCUUCGGAAGCCUAUACUCCGCAGAGGUCCUGAGUUCAAUUCCCAGCAACCACAUGGUGGCUCGAAACCAUCUGUAAUGAGAUCUGAUGCCCUCUUCUGGUGUGUCUGAAGACAGCGACAGUGUACUCACUCACAUACAUUAAAUAAGAAGCAGAUGUAACAGGAUCAGGAGUUCAAGACCAGCCUGGGCUGCAAGUGAGUUAAAGGCCAGCUCAGGAUACAUGGACCUGUUGUGAGCCACCAUGGCAGAAACCAAAAAAGGGUUUUAAGCCGGUUUCCAGAGAAGCACCGCCUAUCAUAUUUGCCACACCGACCAAACUGACCUCCAGUGUGACAGCAUAUGACUAUGCUGGGAAGAAUAAAGUUCCAGAGCUACAGAGAUUCUUCCAGAAGGCUGACGGUGUGCCCAUCCACCUGAAACGAGGCCUUCCGGACCAAAUGCUUUACCGGACCACCAUGGCUCUCACAGUGGGAGGGACCAUCUACUGCCUGAUCGCCCUCUACAUGGCCUCGAAGCCCAAAAACAAAUGAAUUUGCCUGUGGAGGACUGGUUUACUUUGUGACACAAACCCUUUGAAUUCUCGAGUUUCAUUUUUUCCCCCCUUGGAUAGUCUCCUUAACAUUUUGCAAACAAAGGAAAAGAUAAGAAUACACUGGUUUGUUUAUGGCGUGCAGAUGGCCUGUCAGAUGUCAGCUUGUUUUACAGUUAGAACUAUUGUUUAAGGAAAUGACACCAAGCCAUCGCUGAGCCAUCGUGCUCCUGGUCUCCCACGAGAUUCUGGGUGAAAGUUGUUCACAAACUCACUCAUGGCCAGCAGUGCUCAGGGCCUCCGGGACUCGGGGGGUGUCUGAGUGUGAAGCAGAGAAGCCUUUUGGGUGUAGGUGUGAUUGAGGAAGGAGACCAAAGCCAGGGCACAGGUGGGUGACAUGAGGGCUUGAGUUAGCCACCCGGGGGGUUGCUCCACCUUGCAGAAAAAUGCUAGUAGAAAUUAUUUGCAGUCUGCCUCUAAUUGUUGGGCAGUUUGUUUCAAAGGGUUGUUUGCCUCUCCCAGACCUUAGGGAAGUGUGUCUUUGUUUCAUCAUGGGAAAGAACACCUGUCAGUGUUGCACUUUAGACAGCUGUACCAGUAAUUCUCCUUUAAUCAUGCUGCGGCUUGACGUUAUGAUUUACUUGACUGCGGAAUAAAUACAUGAGCAAAGA